UCGCUAAAGGGCUAUAACGACACUUUCUGUCGCUAUAGGUGUUCUUGAGUGUUCUUGGGCCAAACCCAGAACUUCAUACACUGCUUCAAGUAUGCUACUUUGACCGAGUUUAGUUUUCUUUUUAUUCUGUUUCUGGACAAACUAUGAUUUAGAUCUUGUAGUACUAGUGUACAUCUACAAGAUCCAGGAAUAAAAAUGGCAAUAAAGCAUGAAACAACCAAGAUCUAAGCCUCUAAAGAUGUUGUCAGGACUGUUCUUCAUUUUUUGGGUUGCCCAGAAAUGAAGAACAGUUCGACCUGUCCCCUUUUUGCUCCCACAACUUGCUAACCUGUUAAUGUUUAAGUGAUAUUAAGCAUCCAGUAUAUACCUAACAUGAUAAGGAAGAGAUCUAACACAAACAACCAUUAAAUCAUCAACACAAUCAUAAAAUCUAGCCUGGUCAAACUAUGUCAGUCGUCAUGCUCUUAUGUUUUCUGGGUUACCCAGAAAACAGAAAACAUGAUCGACUUGACUAGUUUGACCAGCCAUCCAAAUCAAUCUGUUCAUUACUUAUGUGAUCUUAAGGCAUGAUGAUGUAGUCUAACAAACAUACUACAACUUAGAUGCAAGAACAAACACAUAUCAUAA
RNAcentral lists this long non-coding RNA (627 nucleotides) under Panax ginseng (ginseng). Its description in RNAcentral is "long non-coding RNA (PGIN_LNC001542)". The record is from RNAcentral. Lineage: Eukaryota; Viridiplantae; Streptophyta; Magnoliopsida; Apiales; Araliaceae.